This 1684-nucleotide ribosomal RNA is filed under the name metagenome. RNAcentral's name for it is "bacterial LSU rRNA". It matches the Rfam family "Bacterial large subunit ribosomal RNA", at positions 1215 to 2925 of the family's 2925-position model. The record is from RNAcentral.
UAGAAUUCAAUUGGUAGAGGAGCAUUCUUAAAGGGACGAAGCAGUACCGAAAGGAGCUGUGGACUUUUAAGAAGAGAGAAUGCCGGAAUGAGUAGCGAGAGGAAGGUGGGAAUCCUUCCGGCCGAAUAUCUAAGGUUUCCAGAGUAAAGCUGAUCUGCUCUGGGUAAGUCGGGGCCUAAGGCGAGGUCGAAAGACGUAGUCGAUGGAUAACAGGUUGAAAUUCCUGUACUAUCCUGUAACAGAACUGUGGGGACACAGGCAGAGAGCGUGAGCCGGGAAUGGAAAGACCGGUACAAGCGAGGUAGGAGAAGAGUUGGCAAAUCCGCUCUUUAAUCUGAAGACGUGAUGUGGACUGAAAAUAGGUAGGGAAGCACGUGAGCUGACUGUCAAGAAAAGCCGCUAUUGUUUGCAGGAUACCCGUACCGUAAACCGACACAGGUGGAUGAGGAGAGAAUCCUAAGGCCGACGGGAGAAGCAUUGUUAAGGAACUCGGCAAAAUGACUCCGUAACUUCGGGAGAAGGAGUGCCAGUAAGAUGGCCGCAGAGAAUUGGCCCAAGCAACUGUUUAGCAAAAACACAGGUCUAUGCAAAACCGAAAGGUGAGGUAUAUGGGCUGACGCCUGCCCGGUGCUGGAAGGUUAAGGGGAGAGGUUAGCGCAAGCGAAGCUUUGAACUUAAGCCCCAGUAAACGGCGGCCGUAACUAUAACGGUCCUAAGGUAGCGAAAUUCCUUGUCGGGUAAGUUCCGACCCGCACGAAAGGCGUAAUGAUUUGGGCACUGUCUCAACAAUGCACCCGGUGAAAUUGAAAUACCAGUGAAGAUGCUGGUUACCUGCGCCAGGACGGAAAGACCCCAUGGAGCUUUACUCCAGCUUGAUACUGGGAUUCGGUAUUGCAUGUACAGGAUAGGUGGGAGGCUAGGAAAUGGUAACGCCAGUUGCCAUGGAGCCAAUGUUGGGAUACCACCCUUGCAGUACUGGGUUUCUAACCAGCAGCCGUGAUCCGGCUGGGGGACAAUGUCAGGUGGGGAGUUUGACUGGGGCGGUCGCCUCCGAAAGGGUAUCGGAGGCGCUCAAAGGUUCCCUCAGAAUGGUUGGAAACCAUUCGAAGAGUGCAAAGGCAGAAGGGAGCUUGACUGCGACACCGACGGGUGGAGCAGGUACGAAAGUAGGACUUAGUGAUCCGGUGGUAUAAAGUGGGAUUGCCAUCGCUCAACGGAUAAAAGCUACCCUGGGAUAACAGGCUUAUCACUCCCAAGAGUUCACAUCGACGGAGUGGUUUGGCACCUCGAUGUCGGCUCAUCGCAUCCUGGGGCUGAAGUAGGUCCCAAGGGUUGGGCUUUCGCCCAUUAAAGCGGUACGCGAGCUGGGUUCAGAACGUCGUGAGACAGUUCGGUCCCUAUCCGGCGUGGGCGUAAGAUAUUUGAGAGGAGCUGUCCUUAGUACGAGAGGACCGGGAUGGACUGGCCGCUGGUGUAUCUGUUGUCUUACCAAAGGCAUAGCAGAGUAGCCAAGCCGGGAAGGGAUAAACGCUGAAGGCAUCUAAGCGUGAGGCCCCCCUCAAGAUGAGAUAUCUCAUAACGUCAAGUUAGUAAGACCCCUUGAAGACGACGAGGUAGAUAGGGCAGAGGUGGAAGUGUGGUAACACAUGGAGCUGACUGUUACUAAUAGGUCGAGGGCAUAAUC